GCCUGGCUGGCUCAGUCAGUGGAGCGUGUGACUCUUGAUCUCGGGGUUGUGGGUUCAAGCCCCAGGUUGGGCA
This is a non-coding RNA of Ailuropoda melanoleuca (giant panda), 73 nucleotides long. NCBI's taxonomy places the organism in Eukaryota, Metazoa, Chordata, Mammalia, Carnivora, Ursidae. The record is from Rfam.